GGACGGGUGAGUAACGCGUGGAAAACCUGCCGUAUACUGGGGGAUAACACUUAGAAAUAGGUGCUAAUACCGCAUAAGCGCACAGCUUCGCAUGAAGCGGUGUGAAAAACUCUGGUGGUAUACGAUGGUUCCGCGUCUGAUUAGCUAGUUGGUGGGGUAAUGGCCUACCAAGGCAACGAUCAGUAGCCGGCCUGAGAGGGUGAACGGCCACAUUGGGACUGAGACACGGCCCAAACUCCUACGGGAGGCAGCAG
RNAcentral lists this ribosomal RNA (254 nucleotides) under uncultured bacterium. RNAcentral's name for it is "partial 16S ribosomal RNA". It matches the Rfam family "Bacterial small subunit ribosomal RNA", at positions 100 to 354 of the family's 1533-position model. The record is from RNAcentral.